UAUGUAGGGAGCAAGCGUUGUCCGGAAUCAUUGGGCGUAAAGCGCGCGUAGGUGGCCUCGUAAGUCCGCUGUGAAAGUCAAAGGCUCAACCUUUGAAAGCCGGUGGAUACUGUGAGGCUAGAGUACGGAAGAGGCGAGUGGAAUUCCUGGUGUAGCGGUGGAAUGCGCAGAUAUCAGGAGGAACACCAAUAGCGAAGGCAGCUCGCUGGGACGUAACUGACACUGAGGCGCGAAAGCGUGGGGAGCGAACAGG
RNAcentral lists this ribosomal RNA (253 nucleotides) under uncultured bacterium. Its description in RNAcentral is "partial 16S ribosomal RNA". It matches the Rfam family "Bacterial small subunit ribosomal RNA", at positions 524 to 776 of the family's 1533-position model. The record is from RNAcentral.